RNAcentral lists this non-coding RNA (26 nucleotides) under Rattus norvegicus (Norway rat). Lineage: Eukaryota; Metazoa; Chordata; Mammalia; Rodentia; Muridae. The record is from RNAcentral.
UCUUGAUUUAAAUGGUGGGACGGUUG